Lolium perenne is the source of this 1351-nucleotide non-coding RNA. The record is from RefSeq and is a predicted model, not a curated record. NCBI's taxonomy places the organism in Eukaryota, Viridiplantae, Streptophyta, Magnoliopsida, Poales, Poaceae.
UAGGAGCAACUGCUAUUGUCAGAAAGCGAAGUGUCCCACCAGAGGUUCUUUGUUCAGCCAUCGGUACACACAGGUUAAACUCCCUGUUAUUCUUGUGCGUUAACGGUUAACCUAUGUUACUCUUCUCCUUAUCUGUGCUUCCUCACUGAUCUUCAGUUCAGUACCUUGCAGCCAGUAUUAUAUUUGAUACUAAAUAUGUGACAGAUACGCCAUCCAUGAUCCCAACAACCUAAAAUAUAUUUUUGGAAUAUGAACCGAAUAAAUAUCACCAUGUUUACCCCAUAUAGGAAAAAUAUGUAUAGUCAGGUCCUGUUUUACACUUACAGAAUAUACGUGGAAAUUCAGUUGGCAACAAGAAUCUUAUAGAGGUUACUUUCAUUUCCCUGGGUGAUUAGUUCAAGGAAACAUUUUAUGCUAUCCCUCGUUUUGCUGAUUAUUAUGGUAAUUAAGUUGUCCAACAAAAGUUAUAUUUUUAGGUCAGUUAUAUAUGUAUCCCUUCUAAUGGUACACUUUAUUCAUUGACUUAGGAAUUAAAAGUUACAAACAAUGUGCAGGGUGGUGGCAAGGAGCUCUUGCAGCCUCCAAGGUGAUUGCAUUAUCGUACUUUCUCUAUUUUGUUUUUUCAGUAGUACACAAACCAAACUAAAACUUAUAAUCUUACUUAUUUUGAUGUCAAAUUGGUUGAGCUAUCUCUCUUUAGGAUGACCAAGUUUAUGGGAUUUUUAACAUUUGCUACGCUAAUUGAUCAUUGUUUUUCUCAAUCUGCAAAUUCUGAGGAUUAAAACUGGGAGUGGCACUGCGAUGAUGAUGGACACGAAGGCGGUAGCCGGUACGAAGGGGGUGGUUUGAUGUGGGUGGCUUGACUCCCACGGAUUACCCAUGGUGUCUGGAGGCGUGAAAGAUCUACUGUGAUGUCAGAACUAUGGCGUGCCAUGGUGGCACCAGUUAUGACCGCAGCCUCCCAGUGCCAGGUUUCUAGCCUGAAGUGAUGAAGAAAAAGAGCUGGUGACAGAUGCUGCAAAUCUCACAACGCAAUUUGAAGCAGUUGCUAUGGAUGGUGAUGCACCUCCCUUUGGAAACUGUAUUGGCUCAGGUUUCUGUCAGAUGCCACGUGAUGUGGUAUCUGCUGAUGUUCUUCUCGACGACAACUAGAUGUGUGAAGUUGUCUCACUGAAGGCUGUAGGCAGGCCUGUCCUCAACUGCCUAUUUAUCACUAGCCCCGAUGAUUCGAUGCUUAGUUUUGCUUGCGUUAUUCAGUUUAUGUCUCGUGUCUCUUUGAGCCCCAGAACUUUUUCCAUACUUCAGUCAGUAUGCACAUAUUAUCGAUGUGCAAUUUAUUAUUUUUAUUUGU